AAAAAAAAAAAAAAAAUUCCCCAGGUGACUGUAAUUCAACUGAGGAUCCCAGGUGGUUUCCAUUUUGCGAACCAACAACCCUACCAAGGAGGGAUUAGCAAUAACUUGUCCCAAGUUUACAGGUGUGGCGGGGUGUGGGGAGGGGGUUCUGGAACAAACUGACGUGGUAGUGACUCUGGGCUCUCCGUGCAUUUAAUCAGAACCCACAUGAGAUUCGUUGAACCAGCAGGUGAGGCACUUUCUGGCUUACGUAGGCCCUGUUUUGGAGGAAGGUAUGAGAAAUAAAGUUCUCGUUUAAAAAAAAGAAGAAAAUUAACUUUGAAUUGUAGAGGUAGACAAGUUAUUUUAAAUAUGUAGGUUCUUUGAGAAUUGUCAGAAGGAAAUUAUCCUUUAUCUUUAAACCUCUAACAUGCUUUAUUUCUGACCUAUUAAAAAUACAAAGCUUGACAACGUCCCAGAGUACUCGUUCCUGCAACAGUGGUUCUCAAUCACCUGUAGUUUUUAUUUUGUGGUUUCCGUUCUCGUGAGUCAUAUUUUAUUGGAUGUAUGUAUUACUUUUUUUUUUAGAAUAUAGUGGAUUUACGGUGUCAUUUCAAUUUCUCAUGUACAGUAUAGUCAGUACAGUGACAGAGUCAUUCAUAUAUAUAUAUAUAUAUAUAUUUUUUUUUUUUUUUUCUCAUACUGCCUUCCAUCACGUUCUAUCCCAAGAGACUGGAUAUAGUUCCCUGUGCUGUUUAGUUUGGUAGAUACAAACUAUUACCUAAGGAGAUGUAUAUUUUUAAAUGAUUUUUAUGUUUUCCAUUGUAGCUGGUUUACAGUGUUCUGUCAUUUCUUACCUGGCAAGAUUUUUAAACUUCAGCUGCCUGGGCCCCCAGAGAGUUGGAUUCAGUUGGUGUGGGUGUGGCUCCCCAGGUGACAUUAAUAUGGGGCCACCACUGAGACUCCUGCCCUAGGAGGUUGCUGGCUGGAGGCAGAGGAUGGCUGGAAAUGGCUGGUGGGCUUGUUAAUCCAGGUGCUGGAUCGCAGUGGGUUCUGCUGUGAUGUUGGUGGCUCUUCCUGUCAUCAUGAUGGCUAUUAAGAGGUUGGCAGAUCCCUCGGCCCCAGGGUGACGCCUUCAGGAGUGGGUGGAUCCAGCUGUUCUCACCAGCCUGGGGGUUAGCGAACCUGAAGGGGCAAGUCUGCCUGUUGCUCAUGGAGUGGGUGGCGUGUAUUGGGGUGCACAGACCCCAGACCCAGUCCAGAGGGGAGAAGGGCAGAGGAGGGAGGUGGGUGCUGACAGCAGCUUCGGAAGCAGCAGCCACAGCUGAGCCCGAGGGGAUUCCCGCCUUGUGGUUUUGCCUCUCAUCUGUUGUCAGGCUGUUGGUAGCUACACCAGCAUCCCUGCCCAGCCCUGGAUGCUCCGGGCACUGGUCCCCGAGAUUCCAGGCCCAGCCAGGUCCCAGGGGUCAGGAUGCUUCUUUUGUUCCAACGAGGGACUUAAUAACCGGCAGAGGCCGACCGGGGCCAACGGGGCCUGGUGGACCUGGGAGAAAUGAAGCCCUCUUUUUGUGCUCCGAGGGUGUGUGUGUGUUUAUUGGCAUCAGCAACUUAAACCUAAACGCUACCUUUGGAUGCGAUCAGCACAGGGAAGUGUUGGGAUGGUUACAGUGCCAAGGAAAUGACAGUUCGCCUGGCAGUCGGACAGCCACUCCUUUAAAGGGCUGAGGCGAGCUUCAGCUUGAGGAGAGGGGCUGUUCAGGACUGCAGCGCGGCCAUCCUCAUUUGGGACUGGGGCAGCCCCUCUAGGGUGAUGCUUCAGACUGGGGAGGGGCCACGGCCUCCAGGGUGACUUUGAGCAAGUCCCUUCCCUGCCAUGACCUUCAGGAGCUCCAGGCCCUGCCGCCCCCUUCUGAGUGUGCAAAGGCAGGGAGCGGGAGAAGCCGGAACUGUGGGCCUACCUUCCUGCCCUCCUGCCACGCUCGACCUACCUGGGGAAAUAGGCUGCCUUCUAGAAAGGUCUGUCUCUAAAAGCAUAGACACUGCGGAGUGUGAUGCCACAUGGCAUUGGUGCUCUGACCUCGGAGGCUCCUCUUUUUGUGGUGCCAGUAAGAGAGGGAUGUCUGCCCAGAGCCCCCCAUAGCGGGGUGGCUGGGAGGAGCAUCCAGGGCCACCCCCGCAGGGUCGCAGUGCUGUGGUCGCGGGAGAUGUGCCUCCCCUGGCCCCCUCUGCUUUGCUGUGCUGCGCGGGCUGUGUUUCGUCUGCAUGGUUUGGAGUCGUCGUCCUCGUGCCUUCUCCUCCCUGUCACUCCUGUACAGGAGUUGCCACUGCCCCCUUUUCUACGUCCUUGCGUUUACCCCGGCCCUUCCCAAGCCCCGUAAAGCGGACACAGCGCCCCACUUGGUGUCCACGGGCUUCCGCCGUGCUCCCCAUGCGCUCACCCACGGGCUCCGGCUCCACUUCCCGCGCUCGCUCUGCCGUGCGGACUCGUUGACCUGGGACCGAAUGCUUCAUUGUGGUUUUUAGCUUGUGGGGCGCAGGCCCACUUAGCCCCUCAUCCAGCCGCCGCCGUUUAGGAGCCCCGCACACUGGAAAAGCCUCGCCUUGUGCAAAACCACUUCUCCCAUAAACCCCUCCCUGCAUCGGUGUGUCAGUAUCUGUCCCCAGCAGGGCGCACCUUUCUAACCGGCCCAGGAGGGCUGUCAUGGGUCUGUGGCUGCUCUGUGGGUCCCACGAGAAUGAACCCCCAGCUUCCAGAAGAAGCUCCAGCUGUGUGGCUCCCAGCACUUUGCAUUGAACCUGGGUUCAAGGCCACUGCCAUCUGGUGUCUAAAUAGCUUUGGACCCCAGGCAGGCACAAGGAAGAAGCUUCCGGGCUGCAUCCCCUGCCUGCCGUUACCAACCAACCACCGAGCCCUUCCUGUAUGCUGAAGGUGCUCAGACCCGGGUGCCAUUAAAUCCCCGUGAUGUCAGACCCAUCUUGAGGGGACCGUGCAUCCUUGAGGACUAGCUCACAGCCUGCUGGCUCCCUUGUCCCGGCUCUUCCCACUUCCUGGGCUGUGUCUCCGGGGCCCGGGUGGGGUGAGCUGCACAUGUGGGCUGGUCCAAGGUUUUGUCAUGUGGCCCUAACGCAUCUCGGGAUCUCCCCAGAGUUUCUGCCCCAGGAGCCUCCUUCUGGAAGCAGGUUUGGCUUUGGGGCUGGGGUGAGACCUCCGCCUCCAGGCUCCAGGGUGGGGAGAGAGAGGUGAGGCUCCGAGGCUGCGUCCCAGGGCCCCGCACUCUCCACCUCCCACCUGCUUCUAGCCCCAAAGGAGCAGGCUCUCGGAGGCAGGCUCCCUUGGGAACGCUCAUGUACAGACCAAGGUGUAAAUAAACACUUUGCUUUUCCUGC
This 3366-nucleotide long non-coding RNA is filed under the name Sus scrofa (pig). Its description in RNAcentral is "lncRNA (ENSSSCG00000042233.2)". Lineage: Eukaryota; Metazoa; Chordata; Mammalia; Artiodactyla; Suidae. The record is from RNAcentral.